RNAcentral lists this ribosomal RNA (253 nucleotides) under uncultured bacterium. Its description in RNAcentral is "partial 16S ribosomal RNA". It matches the Rfam family "Bacterial small subunit ribosomal RNA", at positions 524 to 776 of the family's 1533-position model. The record is from RNAcentral.
UACGGGGGGGGCAAGCGUUGUUCGGAAUUACUGGGCGUAAAGGGCUCGUAGGUGGCCAACUAAGUCGGACGUGAAAUCCCUCAGCUUAACUGGGGAACUGCGUCCGAUACUGGAUGGCUCGAGUUUGGGAGAGGGAUGCGGAAUUCCAGGUGUAGCGGUGAAAUGCGUAGAUAUCUGGAGGAACACCGGUGGCGAAGGCGGCAUCCUGGACCAACACUGACACUGAGGAGCGAAAGUGUGGGGAGCGAACAGG